GUUUGGCAUCACUAAGUCUCCUUGGAUUGGACUGGAUUAAUCUCUAGUGUAAUCCCAUGUUUGUUUUACACGGGAACUAAGUUUAAUGGGACUAGGGUGGACUCGCUUCGACUAACACCCGGAUUGGGCGGUCUUAGUGAGGGCCCCCGAAAACAUCAGGAUUGCUAAGACUUCGCUCGUCUGUUUCCACGGCUGCCCACAAGAUGAAGAAGGUAAGGGUUCAAAUCGCCAGGCUUCAGCUCCAAGAAGAGUGGGUCAGCCGGGUCUGGGUCUUGGGAAGCCUAAAGGGGCUAUGACGGUGGGUGAGCUGAUGAGGAUUCAAAUGGGAAUUUCAGAGUGAAUUUCCUUCAAAUUUGGGGGAAUGUCAGCGAGGUGUUUGAUGAUGAUGAUUUCGUUAUUGUUGGUGAUGUGGACAUUGGGGAAGGUAAGCAAAGUGAGAAUGAUGAACUGGGCAGUGGCGAAUUGAGGAAGAAGAAGAGGAAGAAAGAAAAAGUUGCUGGCGAGUUGAAGGGUGAGAAAAGGUUGAAGAAAUCAGCUAAGGCGAAAGAUGAUGCUGAGUUAAAUGGGGAAAAUGUUGUUGGUGAGAAGAAGUUGAAAAGGUCGUCGAAGGCAGGAGAAGAAGAUGGUGCCACUGUCAAUCAUAAGAAAGAUGGGUUGUCCUUGAAAGAGAAGCAAAAAGAUGGUACAAGGAAGAAAGCAGAUGAUUUGUCGGCUCGAGGAUGAGAGUCUAUUGGAAAGAAAGAGAAGAGAAAGAGUAAAGAGUCUGUUGGAAAGAAGGAGAAAAGGAAGAGUGAAGAUGAAAUGUUGAAGAGCACAGAAGCAAACCUGAAGAAGGCCAAGAGAAGUAAGAAAGCAGCAGAGUGAUUCGGGAUAACAGGCUCCAGGCGAAUGACUGGCUUUGUGGUGGGAUUCAAUAGAUCCGGGCAAGCUCAUACGUCUAAAGGUGCAGUGGAUGGUGAAGGGCCAGCCUGGGCUCUCUUAAGAGAUAAUUACAUUCUCACAAAUCCCAAAUUGAAAUACUGGGAUAAGAUGCCGGUAAGGAUCUUUAAUCACAUCUUGUUAAGUGUUUCACCUGUCAAAGACACUCGCGUGCUCUCACUUAAACACGUGCGCGCAUACACAAUGCACUUCUAGUUGCUAUUAUGUAUUAUGGUGACACAUUGCUGUAAUUUGCAUACAGGACACCGUUGUGGAAGAUGACAUUGGAAGGGUGGCUGGAGAUAGUUACGAUGACGAUUGAUGUUGUGGAACUGCACAAACGACUAUGUGCUGAUUGUUUCCUAGGCAUACUUUUUGUAAACAUGACGUGUUAUCCUUGUUGCUACUGCACAAGAGGAAUUUUGUUUUCGAUUUUCAUUAAUGUUAUAAAUGAGUGCUCUAUGAUACGAUUAGCGAAAAUAUCCUGUUUUUCUUGCU
Long non-coding RNA from Malus domestica (apple), 1416 nucleotides. RefSeq lists it as uncharacterized. The record is from RefSeq and is a predicted model, not a curated record. NCBI's taxonomy places the organism in Eukaryota, Viridiplantae, Streptophyta, Magnoliopsida, Rosales, Rosaceae.